UAAAUUUAAAAAUUUGAAAUUUACUUUUUUUUUAUAUAUAUAUAAGUGAAGGUGUGCAUGCAAUAAAUGCAUUUAAUAAUUCGUUUCUUUUUUAAUUUUGCUAAAAUGAAAUUUAAUAUUCUUCAUCUCAAAUGCAUUAAGUUGAUGUGUAUUUAAAAUUACUUAAAAAAAAAAAUUCAAUAUGAGAUAAUUAAAUAAUUUAAAAAUACCCUUUUAUCAUAAAUAUUUAAAAAAUGGAGCUUAUACUUUCCUCCAAAAAGAAAUUUAAGUUGUUUUCAUGCAAUUAAUAAAUAGGAAAAUAACAAAACGCAAAGUAGAAAAAGAAUGGAUUCUCUCGACUUUGAGAGAGAACGGAGGCCCUUGGAGGAGGAAAAGGAUCGGGCUAUAAGAAAGUAAAGCAUAAGGUGGAGGAGGAUGCCGCUGGGGGUAUGCCUAUGUCCUUUAGGGAUAGGUUAGCGUUUGGGAAGAAUAGAGAGGAUGUGGUAAUGGAGGAUGAGGGGGAGGUUGAUGUGGAGGAGAGGGAUGUGUUGGUUGAGAAAUCAGGUAAAAUGCCUGUGGUGACAGUUUUUGAAGAUUUGCAAAGGAAACUGGUGAAGAAAUGACAAUUCUCAGUUGUGGUUAGGCUGUUUGGUCGAAAGAUUGGUUAUAAAGUUUUAUGCAAUAAGAUUCAAUUGCUCUGGAAUACUAAUAAUUUGAAGGUUCUGGAGUUAGGGAAUGAUUAUCUCUCAGUCAAAUUUUCUUGUGAGGAGGAUUUUGAGAGGGCUUUUCUUCUUGAGGGUCCAUGGACCAUUUUUGGGAGCUGUCUGGCGGUGAAACCAUGGUAUCCGGAGUUUGAUAUUUUCAAUGAUGAAAUUACAUCGAUAACUGUUUGGGUGAUAUUGCUAGGUCUACCUCUUCACUUCUAUAAUAAGAAAGUUCUUAGGGGAAUUGGUGAGGCUGUGGGGAAGGUGGUAAAGAUAGAUUAUAAUACUGGAGAUGCUCUGAGAGGUCGUUUCAUGAGAAUGGCUGUAGUUGUCAAUAUCAAGGAGCCUUUAGUCUCCAAGUUUUGCAUUAAUGGGAGGACUCAAUUGGCUGAAUAUGAAUUGUUGGUCACAAAGAUAUUUUUUGUCCGAUGAAGGAUUCAGAUUUUAAAGGUGCUGGAUUGGCACUAAAUGUUAAUGCGGGGAUGGUGAUCCGAAGGAUCAGUAUGGUCCGUGGAUGGCUGUUUAGCAGCGUGGGAGACGUAAUCAACAGGAUAAGAAGAUGCAAGUCGCUGUCAAAGUUCUAGGUUUAAUAUUCUUAUUGAAGAUGGUGGUGAGGAGUCCUUUUGGGAUUGGGAUGAGAGGUAUGUUAAGGAGUCCAGUGGGUCAAGUGGCAAGCGAUUAGGUGAUUCUUUAGAAGGAAGAAAAGUUGUUACUACGAACAGGUCAUCCAAUAGGAGGGGAAAAGUUAAAGGUUUUAAUGUUGAGCCGGUGAGUAAUGGGGAGGUGUUGAUAUCUAUUAGGCUGGAGGGUAAUAAAGAGAAUGAGGAUCCUUUUGCUCAGAGGCCUAGGAGAGGGGACUUGUUUUCUUAUGUUAUGAAUUCUUUGGCUAGUAAUUUACAAGAGGCUCCAACGACUCUGGCUUGUUGGUCCUUUUGGAAAAGAAGAAAUGGGCUUAUUUUCAAUGAGGAUAGUGUGUCUCAAGAUAGCAUUUUUAAUCUGAUUUUGCAGAGAGUGAAAGUUUAUUGUUCGGCCUAUUUAAAACUUUAAGCAGGCUAAGGUUAUGCCUAGGAGAAGAGUUGUUGAUUGGAUUCAUUGGUCUCCAGCAGCCCCAUCUUGGUUUGUUUUGAAUACUAAUAGAGCAAUGAUGGUGAAUUCUAAUUUGGCUACUAUGGGAGGUAUUAUUCGUAAUAAUUGUGGUGUUUGGGUAGCUGGGUUCUCUGCUAAUUUUGGUAGAACAUAUAUGGAGCAAGUUGAAUUAAAAGCUUUCUUGGGAGGGCUUAGUUUGGCCUGGUUCUUGGACAUUAAGAAGUUGAUUGUUCAAUGUGAUAAUACUCUGGUUGUGAGUGCUGUUUCUUCAGUUUCUGGAGAGUUACAGGCUGCGCAACCUUUGAUUCAAGUUGUUGGAAGUUAUUUAGGGAGAAAGGAAGUCAAGAUUGUUUCUAUUUUUAGGGAAGCUAACUUUGUUGCAGACUGUCUUGCUCACAUGGAUGGUUCUGCUCUUUUAGGCACUAACGGCUCUUUACUCCUCCUGCUAAGUUAGUUCCAUGGCUCAUUCAUGAUUUGAUUGGUGUUGCCUACCCUAGAAAUCAUGUAGUGUAGUGGGUUUUUCUUUCUAGCUUAUUUCAACCAAAAAAAAAAAUAUUAAAUAGGAAAAUAACAAAAAUAUGAAAUUAAGAAAUUCCCUUGUCCACAAGUGUAGUGCUGAGCAUUAAUUAAUUUGAACUGAAUAAACAGACCGAACUGAUAAAAUUUGGUAAUUUAAUUCAAUUUUUAUAGUAAAUCGUUUUGGUUCGGUUUCAAUUCUUAAAAUUUUCAAUUUAUUCAAUUCGAUUUUAAGAAUACAAAAUUUUAAAAGAUAAAACCAAACAACAGAACCAAAUAUUAAAAUACAUCGUUUUAAUAGGCAUUUAUAACCCCUCAUUCCUCAUUCCAUCCAGACCCAGACUACCCACCCUUGCCACAAGUCGUCACCCUCAAUCCCUCCCUCAUCGGCCUCUCUUCUUCUCACCUCUCUUAUUCUUCUUCUUCUUGUCGAUACUCUCUAGUUGUUACACUCUCCGACAGUUAAUAGACCCACCCAUGGCCACACGUCCAUGAUAGAGACAAAGACAGACUCAAUGCCAUGUAGUUUCAUCUCCUCCACUCCCUCACUCCCUCAAAGCCUCGAGGACCUCGAUUUUCCCAUCUCCCCCCUCCUCACAACUCAGUCAGUUCUCACUUUCCUCCACACCCUCACAACCAGAGAAACUCAUGGACUUCUCUCUCUUUGCAUGUCGCCUCGCGGUGCUUUUCAGCUUGCCUCACCUGUGUCUUGAUUGUUUUGUUCUCCUGAUGCUUCUCGAUUCUUAGCAUGUGUAUUUGUUGGCAUAUGGCUUGUUCAUAAAUGUUAUUCUAUGAUUUUGCUAUUCUAUGAAAAAUGAGGCUUUGAUAAUUGAUAAAAUUAAAUUAGUUGUGUGAUUGAUUCAUUGUAUUUAUUUGAUUUAAUUUUGUGUUUGAUUCAUUUAAUAGAGAAGGCAAAUUGAUUCGUUUGAUUCAUUGUGUUUUUCUGUUUGAUUCAUUUAAUUCACUGAAGUUAAUGUUUGAUUCAUUGUGUUUAUUUGAUUUGAAUCAGUUCUAUGUUUGAUUAAUUUGAUUUUGUUAUUAUUUCAGUGAAGAUUAGUAGAAGAAAAGGCUCUGAAGUCUCGGAUAAAUUCUAACAACUGUCCCUGAAUUUAUAUAGUUGUAACACUACAGUCUCUUAACUUUAAAAUAUAAUAUAAA
Molecule: unclassified non-coding RNA, 3443 nt
Filed under: Hevea brasiliensis (rubber tree)
Lineage: Eukaryota; Viridiplantae; Streptophyta; Magnoliopsida; Malpighiales; Euphorbiaceae
Source: RNAcentral